Small nucleolar RNA from Neogale vison (American mink), 133 nucleotides. NCBI's taxonomy places the organism in Eukaryota, Metazoa, Chordata, Mammalia, Carnivora, Mustelidae. The record is from Ensembl.
ACACUCUGGUUCCCUUUCCUGUUGGAUCUGAAUGUUGGUCUUGGUGGUCUUAAAAAGAGGAAAAGGAGCACUGAAGCUGGCCUCGUGGUACUGAUAGUCUGGUACAUAGCCUGGGUGCUAGUUUCAAACAGGA